Molecule: ribosomal RNA, 396 nt
Filed under: uncultured bacterium
Lineage: Bacteria
Description: bacterial SSU rRNA
Rfam family: Bacterial small subunit ribosomal RNA
Source: RNAcentral
UCAUCGUGCCAGCAGCCGCGCUAAUACGGAGGGGGCUAGCGUUGUUCGGAAUUACUGGGCGUAAAGAGUGCGUAGGCGGUUUAGUAAGUUGGAAGUGAAAGCCCGGGGCUUAACCUCGGAAUUGCUUUCAAAACUACUAAUCUAGAGUGUAGUAGGGGAUGAUGGAAUUCCUAGUGUAGAGGUGAAAUUCUUAGAUAUUAGGAGGAACACCGGUGGCGAAGGCGGUCAUCUGGGCUACAACUGACGCUGAUGCACGAAAGCGUGGGGAGCAAACAGGAUUAGAUACCCUGGUAGUCCACGCCGUAAACGAUGAGUGCUAGAUAUUGGGAGAUUUUCUCUCGGUUUUCGCAGCUAACGCAUUAAGCACUCCGCCUGGGGAGUACGGUCGCAAGAUUA